GAUGAACGCUGGCGGCGUGCCUAAUACAUGCAAGUCGAGCGAACAGAUGAGGAGCUCGCUCCUCUGACGUUAGCGGCGGACGGGUGAGUAACACGUGGAUAACCUACCUAUAAGACUGGGAUAACUUCGGGAAACCGGAGCUAAUACCGGAUAAUAUAUUGAACCGCAUGGUUCAAUAGUGAAAGACGGUUUUGCUGUCACUUAUAGAUGGAUCCGCGCCGGAUUAGCUAGUUGGUAAGGUAACGGCUUACCAAGGCAACGAUGCGUAGCCGACCUGAGAGGGUGAUCGGCCACACUGGAACUGAGACACGGUCCAGACUCCUACGAGAGGCAGCAGUAGGGAAUCUUCCGCAAUGGGCGAAAGCCUGACGGAGCAACGCCGCGUGAGUGAUGAAGGUCUUCGGAUCGUAAAACUCUGUUAUUAGGGAAGAACAAAUGUGUAAGUAACUAUGCACGUCUUGACGGUACCUAAUCAGAAAGCCACGGCUAACUACGUG
Molecule: ribosomal RNA, 497 nt
Filed under: uncultured bacterium
Lineage: Bacteria
Description: partial 16S ribosomal RNA
Rfam family: Bacterial small subunit ribosomal RNA
Source: RNAcentral